AAACGAUGUCGACUAGUUGUUGGUGGGGUUAAACCCAUUAGUAACGUAGCUAACGCGUGAAGUCGACCGCCUGGGGAGUACGGCCGCAAGGUUAAAACUCAAAGGAAUUGACGGGGACCCGCACAAGCGGUGGAUGAUGUGGAUUAAUUCGAUGCAACGCGAAAAACCUUACCUACCCUUGACAUGCCAGGAACUUUCCAGAGAUGGAUUGGUGCCCGAAAGGGAGCCUGGACACAGGUGCUGCAUGGCUGUCGUCAGCUCGUGUCGUGAGAUGUUGGGUUAAGUCCCGCAACGAGCGCAACCCUUGUCAUUAGUUGCCAUCAUUUAGUUGGGCACUCUAAUGAGACUGCCGGUGACAAACCGGAGGAAGGUGGGGAUGACGUCAAGUCCUCAUGGCCCUUAUGGGUAGGGCUUCACACGUCAUACAAUGGUCGGUACGGAGGGUUGCUAAGCCGCGAGGUGGAGCCAAUCCCAGAAAGCCGAUCGUAGUCCGGAUCGUAGUCUGCAACUCGACUACGUGAAGUCGGAAUCGCUAGUAAUCGCGGAUCAGCAUGUCGCGGUGAAUACGUUCCCGGGUCUUGUACACACCGCCCGUCACACCAUGGGAGCGGGUUCUGCCAGAAGUAGUUAGCCUAACCGCAAGGAGGGCGAUUACCACGGCAGGGUUCGUGACUGGGGUGAAGUCGUAACAAGGUAGCCGUAUCGGAAGGUGCGGCUGGAUCACCUCCUU
RNAcentral lists this ribosomal RNA (730 nucleotides) under uncultured bacterium. RNAcentral's name for it is "bacterial SSU rRNA". It matches the Rfam family "Bacterial small subunit ribosomal RNA", at positions 804 to 1532 of the family's 1533-position model. The record is from RNAcentral.